Molecule: ribosomal RNA, 301 nt
Filed under: uncultured bacterium
Lineage: Bacteria
Description: partial 16S ribosomal RNA
Rfam family: Bacterial small subunit ribosomal RNA
Source: RNAcentral
CAGUCGCCACGGUAAUACAGAGGGUGCGAGCGUUAAUCGGAUUUACUGGGCGUAAAGCGUGCGUAGGCGGCUUCUUAAGUCGGAUGUGAAAUCCCUGAGCUUAACUUAGGAAUUGCAUUCGAUACUGGAAAGCUAGAGUAUGGGAGAGGAUGGUAGAAUUCCAGGUGUAGCGGUGAAAUGCGUAGAGAUCUGGAGGAAUACCGAUGGCGAAGGCAGCCAUCUGGCCUAAUACUGACGCUGAGGUACGAAAGCAUGGGGAGCAAACAGGAUUAGAUACCCCCGUAGUCCCUGUCUCUUAUAC